This 578-nucleotide ribosomal RNA is filed under the name uncultured bacterium. RNAcentral's name for it is "bacterial SSU rRNA". It matches the Rfam family "Bacterial small subunit ribosomal RNA", at positions 56 to 625 of the family's 1533-position model. The record is from RNAcentral.
UGCAGUCGAGCGGAACGAAGGUAGCUUGCUACCAGGCGUCGAGCGGCGGACGGGUGAGUAACGCGUAGGAAUCUGCCUAGUAGAGGGGGACAACAUGUGGAAACGCAUGCUAAUACCGCAUACGCCCUGAGGGGGAAAGGAGGGGAUCACUUGUGACCUUCCGCUAUUAGAUGAGCCUGCGUGAGAUUAGCUAGUUGGUAGGGUAAAGGCCUACCAAGGCGACGAUCUCUAACUGGUCUGAGAGGAUGACCAGUCACACUGGGACUGAGACACGGCCCAGACUCCUACGGGAGGCAGCAGUGGGGAAUAUUGGACAAUGGGCGCAAGCCUGAUCCAGCCAUGCCGCGUGUGUGAAGAAGGCCUUAGGGUUGUAAAGCACUUUCAGGGGUGAGGAAGGGUGAGUCGCUAAUAUCGACUUAUCUUGACGUUAGCCCCAGAAGAAGCACCGGCUAACUCUGUGCCAGCAGCCGCGGUAAUACAGAGGGUGCAAGCGUUAAUCGGAAUUACUGGGCGUAAAGCGCGCGUAGGUGGUUUGUUAAGCUAGAUGUGAAAGCCCCGCGCUCAACGUGGGAGGGUCA